GGGGGCAACUAUACAUGCAAGUCGAGCGGACAGAAGGGAGCUUGCUCCCGGAUGUUAGCGGCGGACGGGUGAGUAACACGUGGGUAACCUGCCUGUAAGACUGGGAUAACUCCGGGAAACCGGAGCUAAUACCGGAUAGUUCCUUGAACCGCAUGGUUCAAGGAUGAAAGACGGUUUCGGCUGUCACUUACAGAUGGACCCGCGGCGCAUUAGCUAGUUGGUGAGGUAACGGCUCACCAAGGCGACGAUGCGUAGCCGACCUGAGAGGGUGAUCGGCCACACUGGGACUGAGACACGGCCCAGACUCCUACGGGAGGCAGCAGUAGGGAAUCUUCCGCAAUGGACGAAAGUCUGACGGAGCAACGCCGCGUGAGUGAUGAAGGUUUUCGGAUCGUAAAGCUCUGUUGUUAGGGAAGAACAAGUGCAAGAGUAACUGCUUGCACCUUGACGGUACCUAACCAGAAAGCCACGGCUAACUACGUGCCAGCAGCCGCGGUAAUACGUAGGUGGCAAGCGUUGUCCGGAAUUAUUGGGCGUAAAGGGCUCGCAGGCGGUUUCUUAAGUCUGAUGUGAAAGCCCCCGGCUCAACCGGGGAGGGUCAUUGGAAACUGGGAAACUUGAGUGCAGAAGAGGAGAGUGGAAUUCCACGUGUAGCGGUGAAAUGCGUAGAGAUGUGGAGGAACACCAGUGGCGAAGGCGACUCUCUGGUCUGUAACUGACGCUGAGGAGCGAAAGCGUGGGGAGCGAACAGGAUUA
RNAcentral lists this ribosomal RNA (756 nucleotides) under Bacillus pumilus. Its description in RNAcentral is "bacterial SSU rRNA". It matches the Rfam family "Bacterial small subunit ribosomal RNA", at positions 42 to 780 of the family's 1533-position model. Lineage: Bacteria; Bacillati; Bacillota; Bacilli; Caryophanales; Bacillaceae. The record is from RNAcentral.